CGGCAACAGCUCAAAUUUGAAAGCUGGCUCCGGCCCGCAUUGUAAUUUGCAGAGGAUGCUUUUGGUGAGGUGCCUUCCGAGUUCCCUGGAACGGGACGCCACAGAGGGUGAGAGCCCCGUAUGGAUGGACACCAAACCUGUGUAAAGCUCCUUCAAC
This 157-nucleotide ribosomal RNA is filed under the name Cytospora sp. RNAcentral describes it as "partial large subunit ribosomal RNA". It matches the Rfam family "Eukaryotic large subunit ribosomal RNA", at positions 99 to 261 of the family's 3401-position model. The record is from RNAcentral. Lineage: Eukaryota; Fungi; Ascomycota; Sordariomycetes; Diaporthales; Cytosporaceae.